CAGCAGCCGCGGUAAUACGAAGGGGGCUAGCGUUGUUCGGAAUUACUGGGCGUAAAGGGCGCGUAGGCGGCCAUUCAAGUUAGAUGUGAAAGCCCUGGGCUCAACCUAGGAAUUGCAUUUGAUACUGUUUGGCUUGAGUUCGGGAGAGGUGAGUGGAAUUCCCAGUGUAGAGGUGAAAUUCGUAGAUAUUGGGAAGAACACCAGUGGCGAAGGCGGCUCACUGGACCGACACUGACGCUGAGGCGCGAAAGCGUGGGGAGCAAACAGGAUUAGAUACCCCAGUAGUCCCUGUCUCUUAUCC
This 301-nucleotide ribosomal RNA is filed under the name uncultured bacterium. RNAcentral describes it as "partial 16S ribosomal RNA". It matches the Rfam family "Bacterial small subunit ribosomal RNA", at positions 509 to 809 of the family's 1533-position model. The record is from RNAcentral.